This is a long non-coding RNA of Armigeres subalbatus, 850 nucleotides long. RefSeq lists it as uncharacterized. The transcript has 3 exons. The record is from RefSeq and is a predicted model, not a curated record. Lineage: Eukaryota; Metazoa; Arthropoda; Insecta; Diptera; Culicidae.
AAGUGACAGCUGCCGCAUCGUGCCGUUGCCGUUCCGUUGCCGCACUCCAUUGCGUUUCCCUUUAAUCGCGAGGUUGAUCGCCGGAAUUUUUUUUAAGUCGUUGGUGAGCUAAAAAACAAAAAGGAUGCAAAGUCCACUACACGGGAAAACGUUAAACGGAUUCAUGCCACCUGCGGGCACUGGUGUUACGCCACUCCAUACAGCGCUGGCGGAAUAAGCAAAUUGGCUGAAUAAAUAGGAUAUGCUUGAGAUGGUGGAGUAUCCAGCUUGGUAAUGGCGGAGAUAAACUGAUAAUAGUUCCAGCAAAAAUAUGGAUGAUGUAAAAACUAUGUAAAAAACUAUGUAAUAUAAUAGCAAUAAUAGCAACUUUCCUGUGUUGGCUUUAUUUCAAGAAAAUUGAAAACCACCUAAAUUUAAAUAUUACCCUAUAUUAUGGUUUGAAAAAUAGUAUACAUAUUAUAAUAUAGUUAUCAUAUAAUUGAAUAAUUAUUGCACAGCGUUUAAUUUGGAUGAAUAGCUUAAUCAUCAAAAAAUCAUACUAUUCAUCGUCUUUAUUAUAUAUAAUCAAACCCCAAAUGAUCGCACGUAACAAAAACGAAGAUAAACUAAUGAUUCAUGGUAAAAUUGCUUCACAAAAAUGCAUGGAAAAGUUGGUGUUUCUGAAUGGUAACGAUACUUAACAACCCAUUCGAUGUAUCAUCCAAAAGCUAAAUAUUUUAAGGGUUAUCGUAAAUAUCAUUCGUGGUAUAAUUAACGUACGGUAUUUCAUAUGAUUCCUCAAAUAAUUCAACUUUAAUUUUCUAUACUCAAAAAACGAUUACUAGAAAAAUAGUUGAAUAAUUCCAUUUUA